CUGAGGGGAAGUCGACGGCAGAUGCAUAGACGGCACAAGCUCAGCUGAUCUCCGCAGGCAGAAGACCAACCUCAUCACAGCUCCAACUUCAGGGAUGACAAACUAUUUGUCCCAGGACAACAUUGGACCUGAAACGGAGAAGAACUAGUGCAAAAACUACCAAUCAUUACCCUGAGUGACAAAUAUUAAUGUAUUUGCAAAUAAACAUCCAUUUAUG
This is a long non-coding RNA of Nerophis ophidion (straightnose pipefish), 217 nucleotides long. RefSeq lists it as uncharacterized. The record is from RefSeq and is a predicted model, not a curated record. The transcript is spliced from 2 exons. Lineage: Eukaryota; Metazoa; Chordata; Actinopteri; Syngnathiformes; Syngnathidae.